UGGGGAAUAUUGCACAAUGGGCGAAAGCCUGAUGCAGCAACGCCGCGUGAGCGAUGAAGGCCUUCGGGUCGUAAAGCUCUGUCCUCAAGGAAGAUAAUGACGGUACUUGAGGAGGAAGCCCCGGCUAACUACGUGCCAGCAGCCGCGGUAAUACGUAGGGGGCUAGCGUUAUCCGGAAUUACUGGGCGUAAAGGGUGCGUAGGUGGUUUCUUAAGUCAGAGGUGAAAGGCUACGGCUCAACCGUAGUAAGCCUUUGAAACUGGGAAACUUGAGUGCAGGAGAGGAGAGUGGAAUUCCUAGUGUAGCGGUGAAAUGCGUAGAUAUUAGGAGGAACACCAGUUGCGAAGGCGGCUCUCUGGACUGUAACUGACACUGAGGCACGAAAGCGUGGGGAGCAAACAGGAUUAGAUACCCUGGUAGUCCACGCCGUAAACGAUGAGUACUAGCUGUCGGAGGUUACCCCCUUCGGUGGCGCAGCUAACGCAUUAAGUACUCCGCCUGGGAAGUACGCUCGCAAGAGUGA
Molecule: ribosomal RNA, 523 nt
Filed under: uncultured bacterium
Lineage: Bacteria
Description: bacterial SSU rRNA
Rfam family: Bacterial small subunit ribosomal RNA
Source: RNAcentral